This is a long non-coding RNA of Passer domesticus (house sparrow), 632 nucleotides long. RefSeq lists it as uncharacterized. NCBI's taxonomy places the organism in Eukaryota, Metazoa, Chordata, Aves, Passeriformes, Passeridae. The record is from RefSeq and is a predicted model, not a curated record. The transcript is spliced from 3 exons.
UUAUCAGUCAUGCAGUGACACUCAAUGGCCCAUGAACAAAGAGAUCUCCUGGAGGGAGGAUGGGUCAUGGAAGAGCUAAAGAAAACUGCCCCACCUGGUUUUAACAGCUGUCCCAUUAACAGAAGAUAACUGCCCCACCUCUAACAGAUAGCAAUAGAACAUACACACCUCAGCCACAUCGUGCAUUUGCAACCCAAGACAAUGUAUCCCUUGUUAAUGAUUAGGUUUAAUGGGAAAUUGUUGUGGACAUUCCCUAUAUGGCCUUGCAAAGGAAAAUGCUGGUGGGAUCAGGCAAACAGGAAUGAGCAAGACUGAAACCUGAGCUUGGCUGAAUCAGUGGCAAAGAAGAUUGAAAAAACAAACCAGCAAAGCAAGGAACAUAGAAAUGAAAGAGCUCUCCCUUAAAUCACUACUGGAUCUGGUCACUGAGGACUUGUUCUGACACUGACAAACACCUGUUUCAUUUCCAAGUGCACAGUCUAAGUUGAGAGUCUUAAUGAGUGUGUUUUAUCUUGAAGAUCAGUGGCCAGUCCACUUUGCAGGGUGCUCUAUUUCUUCCAGCUUUUCAUUUGCUUCUCUCACACUGUGAGUGCACCUUGUCACUGACCAAAUACAUCUUUUUGAGCAAAGUG